This 766-nucleotide ribosomal RNA is filed under the name uncultured bacterium. RNAcentral's name for it is "bacterial SSU rRNA". It matches the Rfam family "Bacterial small subunit ribosomal RNA", at positions 11 to 777 of the family's 1533-position model. The record is from RNAcentral.
GUUUGAUCCUGGCUCAGGAUGAACGCUGGCGGCGUGCUUAACACAUGCAAGUCGAGCGAAGCACUUAAGUGGAUCUCUUCGGAUUGAAACUUAUUUGACUGAGCGGCGGACGGGUGAGUAACGCGUGGGUAACCUGCCUCGUACAGGGGGAUAACAGUUAGAAAUGGCUGCUAAUACCGCAUAAGCGCACAGGACCGCAUGGUCUGGUGUGAAAAACUCCGGUGGUAUGAGAUGGACCCGCGUCUGAUUAGCUAGUUGGAGGGGUAACGGCCCACCAAGGCAACGAUCAGUAGCCGGCCUGAGAGGGUGAACGGCCACAUUGGGACUGAGACACGGCCCAGACUCCUACGGGAGGCAGCAGUGGGGAAUAUUGCACAAUGGGGGAAACCCUGAUGCAGCGACGCCGCGUGAAGGAAGAAGUAUCUCGGUAUGUAAACUUCUAUCAGCAGGGAAGAAAAUGACGGUACCUGACUAAGAAGCCCCGGCUAACUACGUGCCAGCAGCCGCGGUAAUACGUAGGGGGCAAGCGUUAUCCGGAUUUACUGGGUGUAAAGNGAGCGUAGACGGAAGAGCAAGUCUGAUGUGAAAGGCUGGGGCUUAACCCCAGGACUGCAUUGGAAACUGUUUUUCUAGAGUGCCGGAGAGGUAAGCGGAAUUCCUAGUGUAGCGGUGAAAUGCGUAGAUAUUAGGAGGAACACCAGUGGCGAAGGNGGCUUACUGGNNGGUAACUGACGUUGAGGCUCGAAAGCGUGGGGAGCAAACAGGA